AGCAGACACAUUAUCGAUUAUAAAUCCGUCACAAUUGGGAAACGAUCGAAAGACGAAGAUGUUUAGCGGUUUUCCACUAAAUUCCGGACACACGCCGGAUGUGCAUCCUGCCGUGCAGUAAGGCAAGGAGACGACGAGGCGACAACUUGAAAUCUGUUCCCUUUUAACUGCACUUUCAAUUUUUCCGCCUUUUCGCGUCAGUGCCGAGCGUUUGUACUUCAGGUCAUUAUGCAGAGGUUGUAAACGUGUACAGUGCAGCUGAAAGGGACAGACUUGGGAACGGAGAAAAGGGAUGUGGAAGUAGGGGCGUGAGAGUGCGUGGCGCGUAACAGGGCAUCGAUCGUGAAAGGCGCGGCGAAGACACAAGACAUAGGUUAACCGCAUAUCCAGCUGAACGGAGAUCGAUCCGGAAAUUCGCCAUCGCUUUAGACAGACCUGUGAUACGGUCCGAAACCGGCGAAUCACGCGCAUCCGCUCGCCGUACGUCACGAACCUGUGGAAGAACUUUGCGCACGCAUCGUACUUCUCGCUCGUGCUGUUGCCGCUGUCGUUUGUGGGUGGAUGACGGAAAGGGUUGGAAAAUAUGUAAAUAACGGCCGUGCGCCGUUUCUCCACGGUUCAUACGUAUGUAUGGUCACCCAUCAUGUACUUUUCAACGUGCGCACAGUACAAAAUUUAUCCAAUCUAAGAUGAAAAUGUUGGUUACUUUAGGUUAUUCUGCAUUUUUUUUAAAUAUUCAGCACAAGGAUUAUUAAUCUAAAAUUUAGAUUUUAUGGUGUCGAAAAAUAUAUACAUAUAUACUGUAUAAAAUCAUCGAUAUAAAAAAUAAAAGCUAUGUAAAAUAUCCCUUUCUGUCACAGUGAGUCAAUUUUACAUUAUAGCACAUAUAGAAGUUCAAGGCCAUGAGACGCCUCGAUGACGACAUUCGCCCGCAUUCCCGUUGUAGAUUUAGCACUAAACGCGGCAAGCUCAAACGAGAUUCAUUUAUUAGAAAAGUACUAAUUGCAUUCGUGCCGAAUCGGAAUUAAAAUUUCAGCUGUAUUAUACAACUCUCAGGAUGAUAUAUAAUACACAAAUGCUUCUACGUGAAUACUGUAAGGUAUUUUAGUUAUUAAUAAAAAAAUUAAUCUUUUCAAUUAAAAAUGUGAGAUUUGAAAUUUAACGUGUACAUAAGCUUUUACUGAUGUCCUUUUAAAUUGCUCGCUUUUUAUAGACCGCGCUUCAUUCUUAAAUCGAUUUUGCGAAUCAGCUGAUCUCGAGGAAGAACAAAAACAAUUUGAUUUUAUAAUCAUAGAUGUUUGAAUAUAUUGAUCAUGGAUAUAGUUAGCAAUAUGCUAUCCGUGUUCGUGUAUGUAGUCAAGCGCGAAUAUCUAGGAAUGUGCGUGUGUACAGUACAUAGAUACGUACCAAAUAAGAAUGAUGUCACCGCAUGACGCACGUGGAAUUGGCUAGCCCAAUGCCCGGCCGGCCGAUCCCGAGGAAAUGCGGCCGUUAAUGGAAUUUACGUAUCCGCUGCGCAUCCUGCUUGCGGAGAAACUGUAUCCGUUGAUUAUCAACGCGUGGCGAAUGCGUUAAUCUAACGUCACGAAAACGCCGAUAAACCGCGCUUCCCGCGAUGAAUUAAGGAUCGAAAAACUUUCUAGCGUUGUAAAUAGAAAGUGUACCGUACGAGUAUACUCGGCAUUAUACUUCCAUCCAUCCAAUUCAGUUACGUCUAAAUUAUACACUUGUCGAAAGCACUUUGACAUGAAAAAACAAAAAAAAAAUAAAUAAAAAUCAAUAGAAAUAAACACAGUAAUAAAAUUGUUCUUAGGAAAUAUCUUAAUAUUAAAAAUGAUAAUAUUAUCAAAUAAUUAUCAAAAAUGUUUGAUUUUUUCUUAAUUAUAUAUUAAACUUUCAGAAUGUAAAUAAUUUUUUUCGAUUAUUACAACAAAUUGUAUACAAACAAAUAAAAAAAUCUGAAUAUUCUUCAUUCUUAUUGCAAUGUGUUGACUUUUUUAUAGAGUUAACACAUUGCUUUAUUUUUAAAAUGCAAUGUGUUGAGAAACCAUGUGUGAGCUGUGUAAGGCUGAGAUAUAAAAAGGUUUCAAAAACCUUCAAUGAAGAUAGUUUAAUGUAUGUUUAUAAAAUAGACAGAAAUAUCUAUUUUUAAUACACAUGGUUUACACACACGUACACGCGCGCAAACCAGGAAUAAGAUUAUCAAUAAAAUAUUAAAUAACGAUUCGACAACUUUUUCGAAUCAGUAUAUUUCGCAUUAAUCGAAUUUUUAAUUACUUAUUUAAGACAUAAGAAAUAACAAUGAUCAUUUAUGCAAUAUGAUUUCAAUAAACCACAUCGAUAAAAAGUUGUUAAUAUUGAAACGAAAGUAACGAAGGAUUGCGUCACAGAGACUCGCAAUUGCGUAUACGCAAUUCAGCAUUUAAGUGUGAUUUGAAAACAAUAUUCUGCGUAAAAUGACAUAUUUUUAAAUAUUCACUCAAAUUGUUGCGGCAUUUAAAAAACUUUUUGUAUCAAUGUUGUAUGUAUGCUAUCAAAAAUUGUACAUAGCCAGAGAGAAGAGGAGGACAGGAUACUAGAGGCCCAGAGACACGAUUUUUAAAUCCGUGACUAAUCUAUAAAACAAUUUUUAUGCACAUUAGCGUCACUUUAAACAUAAUGAUAAUAUGAAUUGUCAUUGAAAGCUGUAACUCUUAUCUCGUGGCAUGUUAGAACGCACUGUCCC
This is a non-coding RNA of Linepithema humile (Argentine ant), 2725 nucleotides long. The record is from RefSeq and is a predicted model, not a curated record. Lineage: Eukaryota; Metazoa; Arthropoda; Insecta; Hymenoptera; Formicidae.